UGUGAUCAGUUUGUUUCUAAGUGUAAGACACAAAGAAAAAGUGAUGUCUACUAGCAAGGUUGGUAAGAAACUUUAGCAUGAGGCUUGCUAAGAAUCCUUUUGCUUGUAAAGACAGUAACUGGGUUUGAAGUGUUAGAUUUUGAAAGCCAUGCUGUAGUCCUAUUGAAUGUGCAACAUUUUUGCCUGGUCUUUGACUUAUUUCUGCUUUUUGCAUUAUGUGUAAAGAUAUGUAACCUGCGCACAUCAUAACCAUCCAACAUUAUAUAGUUAUAUAUAUAUAUAUAUAUAUAUAUA
Biomphalaria pfeifferi is the source of this 294-nucleotide non-coding RNA. NCBI's taxonomy places the organism in Eukaryota, Metazoa, Mollusca, Gastropoda, Planorbidae. The record is from the annotation of a GenBank genome assembly.